Molecule: ribosomal RNA, 482 nt
Filed under: uncultured bacterium
Lineage: Bacteria
Description: partial 16S ribosomal RNA
Rfam family: Bacterial small subunit ribosomal RNA
Source: RNAcentral
AUUGAACGCUGGCGGCAUGCCUUACACAUGCAAGUCGAACGGUAACGGGCCUUCGGGUGCCGACGAGUGGCGAACGGGUGGGUAAUACAUCGGAACGUGCCCGAUCGUGGGGGAUAACGAGGCGAAAGCUUUGCUAAUACCGCAUACGAUCUACGGAUGAAAGCCGGGGACCGCAAGGCCUUGCGCGGACGGAGCGGCCGAUGGCCGAGUAGGUAGUUGGUGGGAUAAAAGCUUACCAAGCCGACGAUCUGUAGCUGGUCUGAGAGGAUGAUCAGCCACACUGGGACUGAGACAGGGCCCAGACUCCUACGGGAGGCAGCAGUGGGGAAUUUUGGACAAUGGGCGCAAGCCUGAUCCAGCCAUGCCGCGUGCAGGAUGAAGGCCUUCGGGUUGUAAACUGCUUUUGUACGGAACGAAAAGCCUUCUUUUAAUACAGGAGGGUCAUGACGGUACCGGAAGAAUAAGCACCGGCUAACUACGUG